UUUCCGUAGGUGAACCUGCGGAAGGAUCAUUACAGAGUUCAUGCCCUCACGGGUAGAUCUCCCACCCUUGAAUAUUUAUACCUUAGUUGCUUUGGCAGGCCGUGGAAACACCAUGGGCUCCGGCUUAUGCGUGCCUGCCAGAGGAAACAAACUCUGUUUUUAGUGAUGUCUGAGUACUAUAUAAUAGUUAAAACUCUCAACAACGGAUCUCUUGGUUCUG
This 220-nucleotide unclassified non-coding RNA is filed under the name plant metagenome. RNAcentral describes it as "partial contains small subunit ribosomal RNA, internal transcribed spacer 1, and 5.8S ribosomal RNA". The record is from RNAcentral.